UCUUCUUCCCUUUUUCUUUUAGAAAUGUGGCACCCCACUGGCAAGGCUCUCUGGGAUUCAGUAUAAGGGCUGCAGACAAACAGGAAUGAAGGAAUAAAGAGGAACACUCAGAGGGGUGAGGACGGAGGGAGGCUUGGAUGCAGAGGAGGAGACUGAGCAUGGACAGUGAGAAGCCUUUCCCAGGAUGACUCCCACUCUGGAGAGGACAGCUGAGUGCCUACCAUCGGGGCUGUACUGGAGAGACACCAGUUUGAAGAGUGUACAUCAGAAAACGAUCACAGCCCGUUCACAUGGUGUCUGCUGGGCCUAUUGUCAGCUAAUCGAGACCAGCCUUGCUCCACCCAAGUCAGUGUGGCAUCCAGGGAGGCUGGUGAGGAAUAAGCUGAAGCGUGAGUGUGAAGGGCACUGUCAGUUCUGCAGAAAUGGCUCUUAUUUCACAGGGCUAACGUCACAUCCAGAGUGCUCACAGCAGUCUUUGUGCAGGUAUCCUCUGGGGAGUGAGUGAGAAGCAGCUAUUCUGAGC
Numida meleagris (helmeted guineafowl) is the source of this 523-nucleotide long non-coding RNA. RefSeq lists it as uncharacterized. The transcript is spliced from 4 exons. The record is from RefSeq and is a predicted model, not a curated record. NCBI's taxonomy places the organism in Eukaryota, Metazoa, Chordata, Aves, Galliformes, Numididae.